Molecule: ribosomal RNA, 404 nt
Filed under: uncultured Sphingomonas sp.
Lineage: Bacteria; Pseudomonadati; Pseudomonadota; Alphaproteobacteria; Sphingomonadales; Sphingomonadaceae
Description: bacterial SSU rRNA
Rfam family: Bacterial small subunit ribosomal RNA
Source: RNAcentral
UUCGGCCUUAGUGGCGCACGGGUGCGUAACGCGUGGGAAUCUGCCCUUGGGUUCGGAAUAACAGUUAGAAACGACUGCUAAUACCGGAUGAUGUCUUCGGACCAAAGUUUUAUCGCCCAAGGAUGAGCCCGCGUCGGAUUAGCUAGUUGGUGGGGUAAAGGCUCACCAAGGCGACGAUCCUUUGCUGGUCUGAGAGGAUGAUCAGCCACACUGGGACUGAGACACGGCCCAGACUCCUACGGGAGGCAGCAGUGGGGAAUAUUGGACAAUGGGCGAAAGCCUGAUCCAGCAAUGCCGCGUGAGUGAUGAAGGCCUUAGGGUUGUAAAGCUCUUUUACCCGGGAUGAUAAUGACAGUACCGGAAGAAUAAGCUCCGGCUAACUCCGUGCCAGCAGCCGCGGUAAU